CCUACGGGUGGCAGCAGUGAGGAAUAUUGGUCAAUGGGCGUAAGCCUGAACCAGCCAAGUCGCGUGAGGGAUGAAGGUUCUAUGGAUCGUAAACCUCUUUUAUAAGGGAAUAAAGUGUGGGACGUGUCCUAUUUUGUAUGUACCUUAUGAAUACGGAUCGGCUAACUCCGUGCCAGCAGCCGCGGUAAUACGGAGGCUCCGAUCGUUAUCCGGAUUUAUUGGGUUUAAAGGGUGCGUAGGCGGCCUUUUAAGUCAGCGGUGAAAGUCUGUGGCUCAACCAUAGAAUUGCCGUUGAAACUGGGGGGCUUGAGUAUGUUUGAGGCAGGCGGAAGGCGUGGUGUAGCGGUGAAAUGCUUAGAUAUCACGCAGAACCCCGAGUGCGAAGGCAGCCUGCCAAGCCAUGACUGACGCUGAUGCACGAAAGCGUGGGGAUCAAACAGGAUUAGAUACCCUAGUAGUC
RNAcentral lists this ribosomal RNA (460 nucleotides) under uncultured bacterium. RNAcentral describes it as "partial 16S ribosomal RNA". It matches the Rfam family "Bacterial small subunit ribosomal RNA", at positions 338 to 795 of the family's 1533-position model. The record is from RNAcentral.